This 273-nucleotide ribosomal RNA is filed under the name uncultured prokaryote. RNAcentral's name for it is "partial 16S ribosomal RNA". It matches the Rfam family "Bacterial small subunit ribosomal RNA", at positions 524 to 796 of the family's 1533-position model. The record is from RNAcentral.
UACGUAGGGGGCGAGCGUUGUCCGGAAUUACUGGGCGUAAAGGGUGCGUAGGCGGCCGAUUAAGUUGGAUGUGAAAUACCCGGGCUUAACCUGGGGGGUGCAUCCAAUACUGGUUGGCUAGAGUGCAGGAGAGGGAAGCGGAAUUCCUAGUGUAGCGGUGAAAUGCGUAGAUAUUAGGAGGAACACCAGUGGCGAAGGCGGCUUUCUGGACUGUAACUGACGCUGAUGCACGAAAGCGUGGGGAGCAAACAGGAUUAGAAACCCCAGUAGUCC